RNAcentral lists this ribosomal RNA (447 nucleotides) under Triticum aestivum (bread wheat). Its description in RNAcentral is "partial small subunit ribosomal RNA". Lineage: Eukaryota; Viridiplantae; Streptophyta; Magnoliopsida; Poales; Poaceae. The record is from RNAcentral.
GGAGGGAGAAGGUGCCGAGCAAUGGACGGAGUCGCGGGCAUGCUAAGGGGUUUGAAGCUAUCGGAGGAGGAGAAGAAAGGUGUGAAGAUUAGAUGCGCGAUGAAGGGGAAGGGGAAGGAGUGGUUGUUUCAGGCAGUAGGCAAAGUCAUGUCCGAGAAGCUAGCCCAUCCAGAUGCCAUCUGCCAUACCCUAGGCAGAGUCUGGUGCCCGAUCAAGGGGAUAGACUGCAAGGAAAUAGGGGUGAAUCAAUUCCUGUUCACGUUCUUCCAGGAGUCCGGAAAAAGGAAGGCGAUAAAAGAUGGGACAUGGAUGUUCGACAAGGAUUUGAUGGUGGUGCAGGAGUAUGAGCCAACGAAACGGCCUGAAGAUUACCAGUUCAAUAACAUCCCAAUAUGGGUUAGGGUCUACAAUCUUCCCCUGGGAAUGAUGAACGGCGAUUCUGCAUAG